UACGAAGGGGGGCUAGCGUUGCUCGGAAUUACUGGGCGUAAAGGGAGCGUAGGCGGACAUUUUAAGUCAGAGGUGAAAUCCCGGAGCUUAACUUCGGAACUGCCUUUGAUACUGGGUGUCUUGAGUGUGAGAGAGGUAUGUGGAACUCCGAGUGUAGAGGUGAAAUUCGUAGAUAUUCGGAAGAACACCAGUGGCGAAGGCGACAUACUGGCUCAUUACUGACGCUGAGGCUCGAAAGCGUGGGGAGCAAACAGG
Molecule: ribosomal RNA, 255 nt
Filed under: uncultured bacterium
Lineage: Bacteria
Description: partial 16S ribosomal RNA
Rfam family: Bacterial small subunit ribosomal RNA
Source: RNAcentral